AAAAAAAAAAGCCUAGGCCUCCUCUUCUUUAGGCCUAACAACUUUCAUAACAAAUAUAUAUGAAGGAGGAGUUUUGGGCUACCACUUAGAAAGAAAAAUGGUGAAGUUUUGUUACUUUGGAAACAUGGCUACUAGCAAGACACCUCCUUCGUCAGCUCCCUCGACCGGAGACUUGGGGGACUCCUACCAUAUGCUACUCCACCUUGAAUCUCGGAAGUCUCCGACCACUUAGUGACUUGGAUUUUUUCAAGUCUCCAACCGAGAAGUUUUCCUUACUCGGGAAAUUAAGGGAGCACUACCUCAACCUACAUGCUUCACUCACAAAGCGUCAACAUACAAGCUUUAACAAAAGGAAAAAUUCAAAGAACUUAGUGAAGAAGGUCUUGGUGUAUUUAACACAAUACAUUGAAAUGAAGCAAAGCUUGUUUAUUGAUAACUCCGAUAAGUUACAAAUAUGUACAUAUACAUGAAUCAAAAUAAACAAACAAGAGGAAGCCUUCACGAAGGUUGCUUAGGAGAAGUCUCA
RNAcentral lists this long non-coding RNA (526 nucleotides) under Malus domestica (apple). RNAcentral describes it as "long non-coding RNA (MDOM_LNC000571)". Lineage: Eukaryota; Viridiplantae; Streptophyta; Magnoliopsida; Rosales; Rosaceae. The record is from RNAcentral.